CAGCAUGGCACGGCCCUGCCCGGGCUCUCAGGGGCACCGCGGAGCUGCCCCGGCCCCGGCCGUGCCCAUGCCCGUCCCCCCGCUGAUGCUGCCCGGUGCGGCCGCACACGCUCCGCGCACACGCCUGCGCAGCGCUUUACAUAAUGCGCCCACCCCGGCCCGCCCCGAGCGCAUCAACCCGGCAAAGGGACCCCCAAAGGGUGGGAAAACGCUACGAGUUACAGAUCCGACAGGUUGGGAAUGUUGUCUUUUACAGAAUGUGCCCAAUCCUGCCCGCCCCGCUCGGAUCACCCCGGCAAAGAGAUCCCCAAAGGCUGGAGAAAACGCUACGAGUUACAAAUCCGACAGAAUGUGCCCAAUCCUGCCUGCCCCGCUCGGAUCACCCCGGCAAAGAGAUCCCCAAAGGCUGGAAAAACGGUAUGAGUAAAAGAUCUGACAGGUUGGAAAUGUGUUUUACAGAAUGUGCCCAAUCCUGCCCGCCCCGCUCGGACCACCCCAAAGGCUGGAGAAAACGCUACGAGUUACAAAUCCGACAGUGCUUAUCCAUGUGUAAACAGGCCUGGGAUUUUUAAAGCGACAUAAUCCAGCAAAGUUUACAGUUUUUUUCAGCAUUAGGGCACUGUAUUCCUCCAAACCUGCUUGGGGACAUCUUUAUUUCAGAAUAUGGAGAUGGACUUCAAUACAAUACAAUAAUUAAGGGACAAUAAAUUCCUCUUAGUACAAUAAAAAUUAAGAUUAUGGAUUAUGAGAGCAAAACAAUCACCCAGCUUGCAUUUGCCUCCCAGGCCUUGUGUGUGUGAGGAAAUAGAGUAGAACUGAGCUGGAACUGCACUGACACCCCUGAUUUGAGCACAAGUGUCCUCGUGUGGAAUUACACUGAAUUAUUGGACUCAGGAUGCUGUGAAUGACCCCCACUGCCAGCACAAGGAGCAGUUCCUUGAAUGCUGUCAAUACUGAUCACUCUGCCCUUUGCUGCUCUUGUUGUAUUUUGCCCAUUCCACACCCAGGCCUGAGCAUUUUCUCUUUUCCUGACAGUCAGUCCCAGCUUUGGGUGCUAAUUCCCAGAAGGAAUGAUGGAUAAUCAACCCCAAAAUGCUGAUUGUCCAUCAUUCCACUGUCAUCAACAGCUGUGGGAGCAGGAGCUGCUCCAGCAGGCUCAGAUCAGUGCCAUUCAAAGGCUGCACAGGAUUUUAAACUGAAAACAGCACCACCAUCCACAACCCUACCAUCACCUUCAUAUUACUCAGAGAUUACACCCAGGUGCACAUGAAUCCACUGUUCUAAUAACUUCAUUGCAUCCAUCAGCCUGAGGUCAGCUUUGUUGUUCCAAAUGCUUCCCAAAGUUGGCCAGCUGGAGAAUUAGUAAUUUAUUUCAAGGAAAUGAGGUUUUAAACUGAAAUUUUCCCACUCCCUGUGCCCAAGGAUGUGACUCCCACUGACACACCGUGUGGAGGAUUGUAUCCAGGGUCAGGGAGUGGAUAAUCUGGAUAAACCCAGAGAAGAGCAACCAGCACUAAAGGCACUGAAUCCUUCCAGCACAGCCUGGAGGCCCAGGAAUGGCUGAAAUUUAAAUGCUCACCUGGAAUCCAGGUUUGAUCCCACUGGGUACCAGCUGGAAAUGCUGAAAAUUGGAGCUGGAUGAAUCCUGACCAGACAAGAGAAACCUAUUUUGGGAAGCAAACAGAACUAACCACUGUAACUAAUUCAAGGCUCAAUUACCCAUCUGUGGCAUGCAUUAUUAUGCAAGGGUUUGUGCUCUCCCAAACACUGUUCUGUACCUCCAACCAGAAUCAAUUCAAGCCUCACACUUUGCAUUCAACAGCACUUGGAAUGAGAUAUCUGAAUGGUCCCAUUUUGUUUUACAGCCUAUGGAUCUUUCAGUGGUUUUUUUUCUCUUCCAGAAAGUGAGAAAAUAAUUAAAAACACAAUUCUUAGCCUCCACAAAUGUUGAUACGUUCAGUCUGGAUGAAUUUUAAGGUUUGAACAGAUUUUUCAAUAGCCACAUGAGUUACACUGACCCAAAUGCUGAGAUAAAUUCAAUAUAAUGGCUGCUUCAGAUCUG
Zonotrichia leucophrys gambelii is the source of this 2062-nucleotide long non-coding RNA. RefSeq lists it as uncharacterized. The transcript is spliced from 3 exons. NCBI's taxonomy places the organism in Eukaryota, Metazoa, Chordata, Aves, Passeriformes, Passerellidae. The record is from RefSeq and is a predicted model, not a curated record.